Molecule: ribosomal RNA, 253 nt
Filed under: uncultured bacterium
Lineage: Bacteria
Description: partial 16S ribosomal RNA
Rfam family: Bacterial small subunit ribosomal RNA
Source: RNAcentral
UACAGAGGGUGCAAGCGUUAAUCGGAAUUAUUGGGCGUAAAGGGUGCGUAGGUGGCUAUUUAAGUUGGAUGUGAAAUGCCUAGGCUUAACCUAGGGAGGUCAUUCAAUACUGAGUAGCUAGAGAGCAGUAGAGGGUGGUGGAAUUUCCGGUGUAGCGGUGAAAUGCGUAGAGAUCGGAAGGAACGCCAGUGGUGAAGACGACCGCCUGGACUGCAACUGACACUGAGGCACGAGAGCGUGGGGAGCGAACAGG